CUCAUCUCACCACACCCACUGACUACCAGAUCUCAGAGGUUACCCAGAGUCCACACUUGUCACACGUCUGCCAGGCUCUGCUUAGGCGACCUGGUACUAAAAGGCAGGGUUUGGCCCCCAGCGUCAAGGGAAGAAUCCGAGACCCAAUCUCUGGUCCUGCCUCUGCCUGUUUCUCUGUUUGGCUUUGGCCGGUUACUUGCCAUCUCUGGACCUCAGUUUUCUCACCUGUAAAAUAAGGCUAAGAAUUGAUCCACACAGAUGUGAGAACACUCUGGAGAGAUGGCAAGGGCUGGGUGUCUUUCCUGGUUCCCUAGGGGUGACCCAGACACCAAAGACCCUGCUCCAAGCUGACUUUCCAUAGCUAUAGGCCCCCAAGGGUCUCUCAGGCCAUGUUGCAGGGACAGAAACCCUAUUCCUACCCCACCCCAUCUGUCCUCCUACAUCCCUUCACCCUGUAACCUCUUCUCUAUCCAGAUUCUGGCUCUCCGUCUCUUUCUUCUUCGUUACCCUGACACUCCCCAAGUGCUAGGCUCAGCCCCUCAAAUCCCUCAUCACCCUUAAAAGAUUAAAACUUGUACCCCUUCUGGCUUGGGACAGCCUGAGCCUGGGUCAGAAGUUUGGCCUUGGGCCUCUGCUCUGAGACAUUCCCUAUCCCUUGGGCAGCUCUGGGACCCCUGGGACUGACUGAGGGCCAUGGAGGCUAGUGAGACCCCUUCCUGGGAUGCACUGUGGAAGCACCUCUGUUUGCUGAUUACGAGGACUUCACCCUCCACUCCACAACCUGAAGAUAGCAAUAAAGCCUCCUGCACAAUAAAGAGCCACAAGGAGCAGGAGCGAAUGGGCAGAGCGGGCACUGGAGACCGUCAGGAGAGCUUCCAGGAUUGGAUACAGAAGGCCCGAGUUCUGGUCCUGCCUCUGCCAUCUCUAACUUGCUGUGUGAUCGGGGAAGUCUUGGCUCCUCUCUGGACCUCAGUUUGCACAUGUGCUGGAUAAGACCAUUCCUGAUGUCCCCUUGGCUCUCUUAUCUAAUCCCAUAAGCUCGUUGAGCCUUUUGUCUGGGCCCAGCCCUUUCUGAACAUUAAAUUUGGCCUCGAGUGUCUGAUGGUCGGGUACUCCACUCCCACCCUUCACCUCUGCUUCCGUAUAAACCAGGAAGGGAAGAAUGACCUGCCUUGAGCUGGUCCUGGGGUUCCCCUCCCACCCUGGGGUUCCCCUCCCCUGGGGUCCCCUGGUCCCCCUUGCUUAGUCUCUGAGUCCUCAGC
Molecule: long non-coding RNA, 1262 nt
Filed under: Callithrix jacchus (white-tufted-ear marmoset)
Lineage: Eukaryota; Metazoa; Chordata; Mammalia; Primates; Cebidae
Description: lncRNA (ENSCJAG00000075311.1)
Source: RNAcentral